RNAcentral lists this ribosomal RNA (237 nucleotides) under Triticum aestivum (bread wheat). RNAcentral describes it as "partial small subunit ribosomal RNA". The record is from RNAcentral. Lineage: Eukaryota; Viridiplantae; Streptophyta; Magnoliopsida; Poales; Poaceae.
AUGGGGGUUUCCCGGGAAUAUCUUCUUGAUGAUAGUGAUUGGUGUGAGGUGAGUGCUAUCAACAGCUAUGCUGCGUUCAUCGGUUACCUAUCCAGGGCCAUCAAGGGAUUGGGCUUUCUGGUGCUUACUUGGACCACCGUCUUACUCCUUGGUGGUUUCUUCUAUGCUGGCGUUUUCAAUGAUAUAACGCCGGCGAUGGUGCUGCAAUGCAGUAUCCAUGGUGCUGCUCACCGGUGA